GCCAGCGCCAAUACCAACAGCCAAAUCAAUAGUGUAAUGGCCCCUAGUGCUUAGUAACCUCACAACUUGCAAUACAUUCAAUGCGUCAAAUACUCUAGCCAUUUCCCAUCUCUGCAUACGUUUCAUAUCCAGCGAAGCAAUCACCGAGGCCGCAACAUGCCCUGAAUAAAACAAGAAAAACGACACAUUCCCUACUGGGAAAUCCACCCCUGACCCCAAGAAAUCCUCCGGCAACGGCAAUUGUGUAGCAUACCCGAGAAUCCCUCUGAAUGUGAACAUAAACAGCGCCGAUAUUGUCGCUCGAGGCCGUCCUUCAAUUAGAAAAGUCCCCAAAAUGUACGCCGUUUGCAUCGCCACAAACACCGUGUUUAGGCCAGCAAAGAGAGUGUUGAGAGCGGGUUUAGCAGCAAGCAAUCGAUUAAGAGGAACUGUAACAAUAAAUCCGAGAUCGAAAGGCGGAGCAGAAGCUGGAAUCAUAUGAAGCGUAUAUUCCACUCCCAUGAAAAACAACAGUGAAGCAGCGAAGAUACACGGUAUUGGAUGGUACUUCACUACACCGAAUACAUCCUCCAUCCUCCACUUCAUGAAAUACGCAUUACCUAACCACCAUCCAUAACCACCAACCUCCGUUCCCGUUGCCGAUGCCGAUUUCUUCUUCAUUUCUGUAACGUCAACUUUCCUUUCAGUGGUAUUCCUUUUGCUGAGAGUAGAGGAAGAACUAUUCCGACUAUGAAAUGUGUCUCCGUUCAUUGUCGCCGGAAACGGAGA
This 768-nucleotide unclassified non-coding RNA is filed under the name Hevea brasiliensis (rubber tree). The record is from RNAcentral. Lineage: Eukaryota; Viridiplantae; Streptophyta; Magnoliopsida; Malpighiales; Euphorbiaceae.